CUGUAGGUGAUGGGAAUUUAGAAGGCGGUUCGCACCCAAUUCCCUGCUUGGUUUGGAUUUUCAGGAAAUGAUGAGGCUUCUUAACUUCUGUGGCUGUGGCAGUAAAUAUGGAAGAGGAUGGGAGCGUUAUGAUCUUGGUGCUCAAACUCCCUAACUGCUCUGAGUUUCAUCACUUCCUAUGCUUCAUUCUCUUUAAUUUCACUCUUCUUUUCUUUCACUUCUCCUUGUCCAUACCACACGGUGGAAUUCCUUAGGUCUGGGAUUUAUGAGAGCAGAGUCUGAUCUCUGUUUAAUAGUGACCAGUGGGACAGAGCUGUGUGCUGGCUGCCUGGCCGCUUCCUCCCCCUUGGAGUCACUGGGCUGCAGCUGCUAAUCUCCUGGCUGGGGACUAGAGCUUGGCAGCUCCACCUCGGUGCUCUGUUGGGCUGAGACUUUCAGGAUUGCCCUCCAGGCAGUGAAUGACACUUGACUUGGUGGCCUCCAGAGAGUCACCAGACAGCUUGUACGACGUUCUCGAAUCUGUGGCUCAUGACCAUCAUCACCACUCUCCCCAGCCCCUCGCACUGUGGACGAGCACGUGUUUUCCCUGGAGGGACCCUGGAGCCGCCUCCUCCACAGGGCACUGACAGAGUCUGUGUGAAAUUCUGUGAACCCAGGGCAGGCGCGGGCACCGACCUCAGCCAAAACUCGGAUGGCCCUCGGGCCACCACUCACUCCACCCGCCAUGUGAGUCAUUGCUGUGCAUGGUGGCAGCGUGCGGUGUUCCCUCCAGCAGCCUCUGGUGUGACAUUCUGGCAUCUUCGUCUGCUGGUGUGUAUUGAAGGGGGGCGGGCUGCAGAGCUGCACAGCCCAGGUGUGUAUGUGUACAGGGGCAGGGGGUGUCCAGGAAUGCAGCGGGUCCCCCACGGCAGAUGUUAA
RNAcentral lists this long non-coding RNA (918 nucleotides) under Canis lupus familiaris (dog). RNAcentral's name for it is "lncRNA (ENSCAFG00040016060.1)". Lineage: Eukaryota; Metazoa; Chordata; Mammalia; Carnivora; Canidae. The record is from RNAcentral.